Molecule: ribosomal RNA, 492 nt
Filed under: uncultured bacterium
Lineage: Bacteria
Description: partial 16S ribosomal RNA
Rfam family: Bacterial small subunit ribosomal RNA
Source: RNAcentral
AUUGAACGCUGGCGGUAUGCCUAACACAUGCAAGUCGAACGGCAGCAGAGUAAGGGCUUCCGAUUAGGGGCGACGGGUGGAGUACGGGUGAGGAAUGUGUCCGAAUGUGGGGGUUCGCGGAGGAAAAGGUAUGCAAACAUACGAUAAUACCGCAGAAGAAAUACGGGUGAAAGCAGGGGAUCUUCGGACCUUGCGCGCUGGAAGGAGCCGAUGUCGGAUUAGCUAGUUGGGGGGAUAAAGGCCCACCAAGGCGACGAUCCGUAGCUGGUCUGAGAGGACGAUCAGCCACACUGGAACUGAGACACGGCCCAGACUCCUACGGGAGGCAGCAGUGGGGAAUAUUGGACAAUGGGCGAAAGCCUGAUCCAGCCAUGCCGCGUGCGUGAAGAAGGCCUUCGGGUUGUAAACCCCUUUUGUUCGGAACGAAAAGCCGCUGGUUAAUACAGAGCUUCCAUGACGGUACCCUAAGAAUAAGCACCGGCUAACUUCGUG